Molecule: unclassified non-coding RNA, 199 nt
Filed under: Entoloma strigosissimum
Lineage: Eukaryota; Fungi; Basidiomycota; Agaricomycetes; Agaricales; Entolomataceae
Description: partial internal transcribed spacer 2
Source: RNAcentral
ACUUCUCAAUCAUUCUGGCUUGAAUUAGCUGGUCUGAAUUGGAUUGUGGAUGGUUGCAGGUUUUAUUCUGCUCGUCUGAAAUAAAUUAGCAUAAGUUUUUCCAACCACUUAUUAUUGGUAUGAUAAACUACUUAUACUGCCAUUGAUGUGGUUUGGCUUGAGCUUCAAACAGUUUGCCUAGCAAACAGUCAUAUGAAAC